ACACAAGUGCCUCUCUCACUUCCUCCCACAUUUUCAUCAUCUCAAAACAAGCAAAACAAAUUCAUUCAUUCAUGGCCAAGGCCCCAAUUAGGGUUUUUUCUUUGGUGGUUUUGUGGUUGAUGGUGCUGGGUGGGGUGGUUUGGGGCCAAGAUGUGAACUUUUCAUCAGCGGCUGCAGCAGCAGCAGCACCACAAGGUCAAGUGGGUGGUGGUGUGAGGAGAGCAGAAAUGGUGCCUGCCAUGUUUGUGUUUGGAGACUCUUUGAUUGACAAUGGCAACAACAACAACAUCCCAUCAUUUGCCAAGGCUAACUAUUUCCCCUAUGGCAUUGAUUUCAAUGGUGGCCCUACCGGUUGUUUUUCCAAUGGUUACACCAUGGUUGAUGAAAUAGCUGAAUUGCUAGGACUUCCCUUGAUUCCUCCUUUUUCUGAGGCUUCUGGAGACCAAGUGCUUCAUGGAGUCAAUUAUGCAUCUGCAGCAGCUGGAAUCCUUGAUAUCACUGGCAGAAACUUUGUGGGAAGAAUACCUUUUGGUGAACAAAUAAGUAACUUCCAGAGUACCCUUGAUCAGAUUACAGACAAUCUCGGGGCAGAUGACGUGGCCCGGGCGAUUGCAAACUGCAUCUUCUUUGUUGGAAUGGGCAACAAUGACUACCUAAACAAUUAUCUUAUGCGCCCAACUAUCCCAAAAGAACUCAGUUCAAUGCCCCACAAUUUGCUGAUCUUUCGAAAGUUAAGGUAGUUUUGUUGUCCCUUUAUUGA
Molecule: non-coding RNA, 760 nt
Organism: Prunus mume (Japanese apricot)
Lineage: Eukaryota; Viridiplantae; Streptophyta; Magnoliopsida; Rosales; Rosaceae
Source: RefSeq, a predicted model, not a curated record